Molecule: ribosomal RNA, 253 nt
Filed under: uncultured bacterium
Lineage: Bacteria
Description: partial 16S ribosomal RNA
Rfam family: Bacterial small subunit ribosomal RNA
Source: RNAcentral
UACAGAGGGUGCGAGCGUUAAUCGGAAUUACUGGGCGUAAAGCGUGCGUAGACGGUCAAGUAAGUCGGGUGUGAAAGCCCCGGGCUCAACCUGGGAAUUGCAUUCGAGACUGCGUGGCUAGGGUGCGGAAGAGGGAAGCGGAAUUUCCGGUGUAGCGGUGAAAUGCGUAGAUAUCGGAAGGAACACCAGUGGCGAAAGCGGCUUCCUGGUCCAGCACCGACGUUCAGGCGCGAAAGCGUGGGGAGCAAACAGG